This 25-nucleotide non-coding RNA is filed under the name Mus musculus (house mouse). Lineage: Eukaryota; Metazoa; Chordata; Mammalia; Rodentia; Muridae. The record is from RNAcentral.
UGACGACUGUAAGAGGAAAUGGACA